RNAcentral lists this ribosomal RNA (536 nucleotides) under Meyersia sp. 214386332. Its description in RNAcentral is "SSU rRNA". It matches the Rfam family "Eukaryotic small subunit ribosomal RNA", at positions 78 to 616 of the family's 1831-position model. Lineage: Eukaryota; Metazoa; Nematoda; Enoplea; Enoplida; Oncholaimidae. The record is from RNAcentral.
AUCGUGAAACCGCGAAUGGCUCAUUACAACAGCUAUAGUUCACUGGAUAUAACCCAGUUACAUGGAUAACUGUGGUAAUUCUACAGCUAAUACACGCUUCAAAACCCUGACUUUACGGAAGGGUGCGUUAGUUAAUUCAAACCAAUCAGACUUCGGUCUGCAUCCAAGUGAAAUUGAACUAUUUAGCUGAUCGCACGGUCUAAGAACCGGCGACAUAUCCUUCAAACAUCUGCCUUAUCAACUGUCGAUGGUAGAUUAUGCGCCUACCAUGGUUGUAACGGGUAACGGAGAAUCAGGGUUUGAUUCCGGAGAGGGAGCCUGAGAAAUGGCUACCACAUCCAAGGAAGGCAGCAGGCACGCAAAUUACCCACUCCCGGCUCGGGGAGGUAGUGACGAAAAAUAACAAGCUGGUCUCUAUGAGUUCCGGCAUUGUAAUGGGAACAACCCAAAUCAUUUAUCGAGGAUCUAUUGGAGGGCAAGUCUGGUGCCAGCAGCCGCGGUAAUUCCAGCUCCAAUAGCGUAUAUAAAGUUGUUGC